Molecule: ribosomal RNA, 292 nt
Filed under: uncultured bacterium
Lineage: Bacteria
Description: partial 16S ribosomal RNA
Rfam family: Bacterial small subunit ribosomal RNA
Source: RNAcentral
GUGUCAGCAGCCGCGGUAAUACGGAGGGGGCUAGCGUUGUUCGGAAUUACUGGGCGUAAAGCGCACGUAGGCGGCUUUGCAAGUCAGAGGUGAAAGCCCAGGGCUCAACCCUGGAAUUGCCUUUGAGACUGCAUCGCUAGAAUUGUGGAGAGGUAAGUGGAAUUCCGAGUGUAGAGGUGAAAUUCGUAGAUAUUCGGAAGAACACCAGUGGCGAAGGCGACUUACUGGACACAUAUUGACGCUGAGGUGCGAAAGCGUGGGGAGCAAACAGGAUUAGAAACCCUUGUAGUCC